UGUUUUAUUCAACAUUGGAAC
RNAcentral lists this non-coding RNA (21 nucleotides) under Caenorhabditis elegans. Lineage: Eukaryota; Metazoa; Nematoda; Chromadorea; Rhabditida; Rhabditidae. The record is from RNAcentral.